This 497-nucleotide ribosomal RNA is filed under the name uncultured bacterium. Its description in RNAcentral is "partial 16S ribosomal RNA". It matches the Rfam family "Bacterial small subunit ribosomal RNA", at positions 28 to 507 of the family's 1533-position model. The record is from RNAcentral.
GAUGAACGCUGGCGGCGUGCCUAAUACAUGCAAGUCGAGCGAACAGAUGAGGAGCUUGCUCCUCUGACGUUAGCGGCGGACGGGUGAGUAACACGUGGAUAACCUACCUAUAAGACUGGGAUAACUUCGGGAAACCGGAGCUAAUACCGGAUAAUAUAUUGAACCGCAUGGUUCAAUAGUGAAAGACGGUUUUGCUGUCACCUAUAGAUGGAUCCGCGCCGCAUUAGCUAGUUGGUAAGGUAACGGCUUACCAAGGCAACGAUGCGUAGCCGACCUGAGAGGGUGAUCGGCCACACUGGAACUGAGACACGGUCCAGACUCCUACGGGAGGCAGCAGUAGGGAAUCUUCCGCAAUGGGCGAAAGCCUGACGGAGCAACGCCGCGUGAGUGAUGAAGGUCUUCGGAUCGUAAAACUCUGUUAUUAGGGAAGAACAAAUGUGUAAGUAACUAUGCACGUCUUGACGGUACCUAAUCAGAAAGCCACGGCUAACUACGUG